Lonchura striata (white-rumped munia) is the source of this 870-nucleotide non-coding RNA. Lineage: Eukaryota; Metazoa; Chordata; Aves; Passeriformes; Estrildidae. The record is from RefSeq and is a predicted model, not a curated record.
UGCAACUGCCUCCGCAGGGCGGAGCCACGCGGCUGCCCCCCAUUGGUCAAGAAGAGGCACGUGACGCAAGUGCCUCGGCGCGGCCAAUGUGGGCUCUGCGCCGCCGCGUGACGGGCGCGCGCGGGCGCGGCGGCGGUUGGUUGGAGUGGGUGAGGCCCGCCGGUCCCGAACGCCGGGAGUGGCUCCAGGACCCAUUUGGAUGGAAAGAUCCCGCCGCUCGUUUCUUGAGGAGGCUCCGCGCGGAUUUCGGCGGAUGUCAGUCCUGCUCCGCUGAUGAAGACUCUGCAGAGUGACCGAGGAGUGACUCCUGAAAGUGCCCGUACUUGCAAAAAAAAAUUAAUGUAAGGGGUAUAAAAAUUCAUAAAUAUUCUUGCUUCGACUCUGUGCUUUUGGUUCAUCUUGAAAUGUGAAGGGAUUGAGCUCGGGGGCUCUUACCUGUCCUGAACUGAUCAUUUCCCUCCAUCCCCCCGCAAAAUGCAGCCUGAAAAUGGGAACCCUGAUGGCCAGGAAUACUUGUCUGACCACCUAACCUGUCCGGUGGAAAAACACACCCAGUCGUUCUUCUGAAUUGGACACUGAAACAGCAUGGCUAUGUCUUAGUUAAUAGGAAUCUGAACUUAAUAUCCAAAAUCUGAAGGAAUUCAGUCUGUGCAGAAAUUAUUGUGACAUAUUGCUUCUUGAACAAUGUCCAGCAAGAAUGAAACAUGUAAGAUUGCAGAUUUUAAAAGGAUAAACAUUAUUUGAUACUUUAUUUAUAGGGUACUAAAGGGAAAAGGUAAUGGUUUUGUUAAGAAAAAGACAUUUGUCUGAUCAUUUUCCAUCAAUAAAAUUUUAAUAUCCUCUAAUUCAUUAGAGGGGGAAAAAAAAGGC